Non-coding RNA from Podarcis lilfordi (Lilford's wall lizard), 72 nucleotides. The record is from the annotation of a GenBank genome assembly. NCBI's taxonomy places the organism in Eukaryota, Metazoa, Chordata, Lepidosauria, Squamata, Lacertidae.
GGACUUGUGGCUCAGUGGGAGAGCACCUGACUGGCAUGCAGGAGGUCCCGGGUUCAGCCCCUGACAUUUCCA